RNAcentral lists this ribosomal RNA (284 nucleotides) under Roseobacter sp. SFLA13. RNAcentral describes it as "partial 16S ribosomal RNA". It matches the Rfam family "Bacterial small subunit ribosomal RNA", at positions 15 to 327 of the family's 1533-position model. The record is from RNAcentral. Lineage: Bacteria; Pseudomonadati; Pseudomonadota; Alphaproteobacteria; Rhodobacterales; Roseobacteraceae.
GAUCCUGGCUCAGAACGAACGCUGGCGGCAGGCCUAACACAUGCAAGUCGAGCGCACCCUUCGGGGCGAGCGGCGGACGGGUUAGUAACGCGUGGGAAUAUACCCUUCACUACGGAAUAGCCUCGGGAAACUGAGAGUAAUACCGUAUACGCCCUUCGGGGGAAAGAUUUAUCGGUGAUGGAUUAGCCCGCGUCUGAUUAGAUAGUUGGUGGGGUAAUGGCCUACCAAGUCUACGAUCAGUAGCUGGUUUUAGAGGAUGAUCAGCAACACUGGGACUGAGACAC